RNAcentral lists this ribosomal RNA (302 nucleotides) under uncultured Teredinibacter sp. Its description in RNAcentral is "bacterial SSU rRNA". It matches the Rfam family "Bacterial small subunit ribosomal RNA", at positions 30 to 334 of the family's 1533-position model. The record is from RNAcentral. Lineage: Bacteria; Pseudomonadati; Pseudomonadota; Gammaproteobacteria; Cellvibrionales; Cellvibrionaceae.
AUUGAACGCUGGCGGCAGGCCUAACACAUGCAAGUCGAGCGAGAACGUUACUUCGGUAACUAUUAAGCGGCGGACGGGUGAGUAACGCGUGGGAAUCUACCUAGUAGGUGGGGGACAACAGUUGGAAACGACUGCUAAUACCGCAUACGUCCUGUGGGAGAAGCGGGGGAUCUUCGGACCUCGUGCUAUUAGAUGAGCCCGCGUAAGAUUAGCUAGUUGGUGGGGUAAAGGCCUACCAAGGCGACGAUCUUUAGCUGGUCUGAGAGGAUGAUCAGCCACACUGGAACUGAGACACGGUCCAG